GGAGAAAUACCCAAGCUCGGUUGAAGGGAUCGGUCUUGAAAACCGACAGGACGUGUGAGCGUCGCGGGGGUUCGAAUCCCUCUUUCUCCGCCA
This 93-nucleotide transfer RNA is filed under the name Tenericutes bacterium HGW-Tenericutes-1. RNAcentral describes it as "tRNA-Ser". It matches the Rfam family "tRNA". Rfam says of the family: Transfer RNA (tRNA) molecules are approximately 80 nucleotides in length. Their secondary structure includes four short double-helical elements and three loops (D, anti-codon, and T loops). Lineage: Bacteria; Bacillati; Mycoplasmatota. The record is from RNAcentral.